UUUAUUCACUUCUAUUCAUUUCUAUUAAUAGACUCCUGUCGCAAAUUCAAAAUUUCUUUUGUUCGACGACUAAUUCAAAAAUUAUUUAGAAAUCUUUUAUAACCAUGUAUCGUAUUAUUUAAUCCAUAUAUCCAUGAAAUUUCAUUUCAACUUUCAAUUAAUCUAUUUAUAAUCCAAUUACUUCUUAGAAUGUUAUUUAAUACGAUAUUGAUGAAUACUCAAGUGAUUGUUCAAAUAUAACCAAUCAAGUCUUGGAUACGACGGAAGACAUCGAUAAUUGCGAAGAGAAUAAUAUAUCAGAAGAGUUAUAUGAUUAACAUAUUUGCAUUUGUGGAUUUACAUAUAACACAACAGUGGUUGCUAAAAUUAUCAUACAUUGAUAUAUUCUAAUGUCAGAGAAUUAGUAACUCUGAGUUUUAAUAACAUUGGAAUACUUGGAAGAAAAGAUUUGAUGAGAUUUUUAGCAGAAAUAUUAGGAAAGAAGAAAGAAGAAUUAAUACAUAUAGUUGAAUAUUAUUAUUGCAACAUUUUAUAACAAUAAAUAAGCUUAAUAUAUCUUAUAAUAUCAACUACGACUAUGAAAUACAAUGAAGUAAUGAACUAAGCUCAACAGGUUCUGUGAAAAUGUGAAGUUUAAGGAAUAUCAAAUCUGAUAAUAAUAAUCUGAUCCUAAUGAUUUUAUUAAGAUUUAUUCUAUUCGAAAAGGUAUUCAAGAUAUUUUAUUAUAAAAGUAGAAAAAAAUCUAGUGCAAUAGAUUCUAAGUUGGAUGAAAUUCUACAAAGUAAAAACAGGAAUAGAAGACGAGAUGUAUAAAUUCAUUUAUGAUGACGGAUGAAAAGAAAGAUACUGUAUUUGUAGGCACAUAUAAACAAAAAAAUGAUCAGUAUGUAUAUGAAAAGGAAAUAAUAUAACAAUGAUUUUGAUAUUAAAACAAGAAAGCUUAAAAGAAAUGUAUUGACAUGAUAACUAUUGCGUGGCAAAAACAUAAAAUUCUAAGACAAUUGUUAGUAAUUUUAGAAUUUACAUGAAUAAGUUUCAUAUGUAUCAAAAAAUAUACAAAGAAUCAUAUUGUA
This is a long non-coding RNA of Vespa crabro (European hornet), 1073 nucleotides long. RefSeq lists it as uncharacterized. The transcript is spliced from 2 exons. Lineage: Eukaryota; Metazoa; Arthropoda; Insecta; Hymenoptera; Vespidae. The record is from RefSeq and is a predicted model, not a curated record.